Molecule: ribosomal RNA, 474 nt
Filed under: Rhodotorula sp. DMKU-RE31
Lineage: Eukaryota; Fungi; Basidiomycota; Microbotryomycetes; Sporidiobolales; Sporidiobolaceae
Description: eukaryotic LSU rRNA
Rfam family: Eukaryotic large subunit ribosomal RNA
Source: RNAcentral
AGAAGUGUUUUCCGCGUUGGACCGCACACAAGUCUGUUGGAAUACAGCGGCAUAGUGGUGAUACCCCAUUACACGGUGCGGACGCCCAGCGCUUUGUGAUACACUUUCGACGAGUCGAGUUGUUUGGGAAUGCAGCUCAAAUUGGGUGGUAAAUUCCAUCUAAAGCUAAAUAUUGGCGAGAGACCGAUAGCGAACAAGUACCGUGAGGGAAAGAUGAAAAGCACUUUGGAAAGAGAGUUAAAAGUACGUGAAAUUGUUGGAAGGGAAACGCUUGAAGUCAGACUUGCUUGCCGGGCUUGCUCGGUUUGCAGGCCAGCAUCAGUUUUCCGGGGCGGAUAAUGGCAGUUAGAAUGUAGCAGUCUCGGCUGUGUUAUAGCUUUCUGCUGGAUACGCCCUGGGGGACUGAGGAACGCAGCGUGCCGUAUGGCGAGGGCUUCGGCCCUUUCACGCUUAGGAUGCUGGUGGAAUGGCUUU